This 1365-nucleotide ribosomal RNA is filed under the name uncultured bacterium. RNAcentral describes it as "bacterial SSU rRNA". It matches the Rfam family "Bacterial small subunit ribosomal RNA", at positions 28 to 1381 of the family's 1533-position model. The record is from RNAcentral.
GAUGAACGCUGGCGGCGUGCUUAACACAUGCAAGUCGAACGAUGAAGCCCAGCUUGCUGGGUGGAUUAGUGGCGAACGGGUGAGUAACACGUGAGUAACCUGCCCUUAACUCUGGGAUAAGCCUGGGAAACUGGGUCUAAUACCGGAUAGGAGCGUCCACCGCAUGGUGGGUGUUGGAAAGAUUUAUCGGUUUUGGAUGGACUCGCGGCCUAUCAGCUUGUUGGUGAGGUAAUGGCUCACCAAGGCGACGACGGGUAGCCGGCCUGAGAGGGUGACCGGCCACACUGGGACUGAGACACGGCCCAGACUCCUACGGGAGGCAGCAGUGGGGGAUAUUGGCCAAAGUGGGGCAAGCCUUAAUGCACCGACCCCCCCCUGAGGGAAUAACGGCCUUCCCGGUUUGAAACCCCUUUCCUUUUGGGAAAAACCACAAUGGCCGGGUCCCUUCCAAAAAAAAAACCGGCUAAUUUUUUUUCCUCGCCCCCCAGCCCGCGGUAAUAACGUUGGGUGCGGAGCGUUAUCCGGAAAUUAUUGGGGCGUAAAGAAGCUCGUAAGGCGGUUUGUCGCGUCUGUCGUGAAAGUCCGGGGCUUAACCCCGGAUCUGCGGUGGGUACGGGCAGACUAGAGUGCAGUAGGGGAGACUGGAAUUCCUGGUGUAGCGGUGGAAUGCGCAGAUAUCAGGAGGAACACCGAUGGCGAAGGCAGGUCUCUGGGCUGUAACUGACGCUGAGGAGCGAAAGCAUGGGGAGCGAACAGGAUUAGAUACCCUGGUAGUCCAUGCCGUAAACGUUGGGCACCAGGUGUGGGGACCAUUCCACGGUUUCCGCGCCGCAGCUAACGCAUUAAGUGCCCCGCCUGGGGAGUACGGCCGCAAGGCUAAAACUCAAAGGAAUUGACGGGGGCCCGCACAAGCGGCGGAGCAUGCGGAUUAAUUCGAUGCAACGCGAAGAACCUUACCAAGGCUUGACAUGUUCUCGAUCGCCGUAGAGAUACGGUUUCCCCUUUGGGGCGGGUUCACAGGUGGUGCAUGGUUGUCGUCAGCUCGUGUCGUGAGAUGUUGGGUUAAGUCCCGCAACGAGCGCAACCCUCGUUCCAUGUUGCCAGCACGUCGUGGUGGGGACUCAUGGGAGACUGCCGGGGUCAACUCGGAGGAAGGUGAGGACGACGUCAAAUCAUCAUGCCCCUUAUGUCUUGGGCUUCACGCAUGCUACAAUGGCCGGUACAAUGGGUUGCGAUACUGUGAGGUGGAGCUAAUCCCAAAAAGCCGGUCUCAGUUCGGAUUGGGGUCUGCAACUCGACCCCAUGAAGUCGGAGUCGCUAGUAAUCGCAGAUCAGCAACGCUGCGGUGAAUACGUUCCCGGGCCU